CGCCUCGGACGAACACCACUGGGGGUAGAGCACUGUUUCGGCUAGGGGGUCAUACCGACUUACCAAACCGAUGCAAACUCCGAAUACCGAUGAGUGAUAUCCGGGAGACACACGGUGGGUGCUAACGUCCAUCGUGGAGAGGGAAACAACCCAGACCGCCAGCUAAGGCCCCAAAUUCCUAGUUAAGUGGGAAACGAGGUGGGAAGGCAUAGACAGCUAGGAGGUUGGCUUAGAAGCAGCCAUCCUUUAAAGAAAGCGUAAUAGCUCACUAGUCGAGUCGGCCCGCGCGGAAGAUGUAACGGGGCUCAAACUAGGAGCCGAAGCUGCGGAUUUGAAUUUGUUUUCAAGUGGUAGGGGAGCGUUGUGUAAGCCUGUGAAGGUGUGUUGUAAAGCAUGCUGGAGGUAUCACAAGAGCGAAUGCUGACGUGAGUAACGAUAAUGCGAGUGAAAAGCUCGCACGCCGGAAGAUCAAGGGUUCCAGUCCAACGUUAAUCGGGGCUGGGUGAGUCGACCCCUAAGGCGAGGCCGAAAGGCGUAGUCGAUGGGAAAUCGGUUAAUAUUCCGAUACUUGUUUAUAAUGCGAUGGAGGGACGGAGAAGGUUAUGUCAGCCUGGCGUUGGUUGUCCAGGUGAAAGGAUGUAGGUUUAUAGCUUAGGUAAAUCCGGGCUAUUUUAUACCGAGAUCUGAUAGCAAGCUGUACUUGUACAGCGAAGUGGCAAAUACCAUGCUUCCAGGAAAAGCUUCUAAGCAAUAGUUAUAAACGAAUCGUACCCUAAACCGACACAGGUGAUCAGGUAGAGAAUACCAAGGCGCUUGAGAGAACUCGGCUGAAGGAACUAGGCAAAAUGGUACCGUAACUUCGGGAGAAGGUACGCUGUUGAUGGUGAUAGGACUUGCUCCUUGAGCUGUUGGCAGUCGCAGAUACCAGGCUGCUGCAACUGUUUAUUAAAAACACAGCACUCUGCAAACACGAAAGUGGACGUAUAGGGUGUGAUGUCUGCCCGGUGCUGGAAGGUUAAUUGAUGGGGUUAGCGUAAGCGAAGCUCUUGAUCGAAGCCCCAGUAAACGGCGGCCGUAACUAUAACGGUCCUAAGGUAGCGAAAUUCCUUGUCGGGU
Molecule: ribosomal RNA, 1116 nt
Filed under: marine sediment metagenome
Description: bacterial LSU rRNA
Rfam family: Bacterial large subunit ribosomal RNA
Source: RNAcentral